This 7125-nucleotide long non-coding RNA is filed under the name Triticum aestivum (bread wheat). RNAcentral's name for it is "long non-coding RNA (TAES_LNC000998)". The record is from RNAcentral. Lineage: Eukaryota; Viridiplantae; Streptophyta; Magnoliopsida; Poales; Poaceae.
CGACAGUUUGUGAGUAUUAAAAAACAGCUUGCCUGGGGUUUGUCCGAAGUAGGAUUGAAGUAAACAAAGUACAUGGGAGUGACUGAAUGGAACCUUGGCUAACAGUAGAAUCUGAGCCAAGCUGCCUAGCUCCUGUAUUUCAUCUCAUCGUGAUCGUGAUCCCUGAUCAUCACCGUGCUUCGUGUCUUGAUUUCUGUGUAGCGCGUUUAUCUUCUCCCGAGACACCCUGCGCACUGGAGUGAGCAGAAGCAGCACUUAGAGAGAGCUUUGCCUUCGGAAAUAGAUGUCACCCAUAAUGAAGACAAUGGUGCAGGCAGGCUCUCGAUUCUGUAGAGCAGCUGUGGAGUCACAAUGCCAAGUGGAUGAACAAAAAAAAAAGGCAGCCGAAAUGGAUGCCACCAAGACACCAAUAACCCUAACCAUCUUCUCCAACAUUAGCAAGCAGAAACAGUGGUGGAGGGGUGAAGGAGAGGCAGAGAGGGGAAGCACAGGCAUUGCAUGCCUUUAUGCGAGUUACUGUGUGGGGUUUGGCAUUUAGUGGUACAAAUUACUACUGUGCAGUAGUAAUUUGUAAAGAUGGUGCUCUGUCGAAAAAUAGUUUUGGAGCUCGGGCGACAGGGAGCUCGGUAUCCCUACCAUCCAGCCUCCUCGUUAUCCAGACUUCUGCUAUAUUGGCAGGCUGUAUAUGGAUGUAUUUAACCCAAUUAGCAAAGUGCAUGGACCCACAUCACCGCCCAGAACUCUGGAAAGGUGGCUCAUAUCCCUGACAUAUUACUCCCUCCGUUCCUAAAUAUAAGUCUUUGUAGAGAUUUUACUAUAAACCACAUACGAAUGUAUAUAGAUGCAUUUUGAAUGUAGAUUCAUUCAUUUUGUUCCGUAUGUAGUCCAUAGUGAAAUCUCUACAAAGACUUACAUUUAGGAACGGAGGAAGUAUUUAAUAGCUACAGAUCAACAACCAUGACCAAGAAAUGUGCCGUGCCACAAAAAUUACCAGAUGCGUUGAGAUGUUGUUUAUUAAGGCUGCAAUUAAAAUUGCCAGUGGCAUUUGGACAGCACAAACUAGCAGAAUAAGCGAAAUUAGCAGAGUUCGACAUUUCUCAUGCACAACUUAUUUGGCCAUUACAAAAAUUAUUUUGCACAAAGACACAUGACUUGCACAGGAAGAAGUCCAGUUUCAAAAAUGAUUGUCACUAGAUAAUCUUAUGCAUAGAUAGUUUGCACUUUAGAUGAACAGAUCGUGAUUUUCAAAGAAAAAAUGAUUGGUAAUAAUAUCUUUCUAGGGAGGAGGAUUUACAAGAAAAAAUCAGGCAAGAACCAUGGAGAUAGCUUCGUCCAGAAUACUGAACCAAAAAGUUAAAUUCAAAAACAAGAUACAAAGAUUCAAGUGUCAGAUCUCAUGGCCACAAUAAUAGAGGUUAAAUGCACUCGUGCACAAUCCGUAGUAGACACAUUGCAAGCAUGAAACUAGUAUGAACAUAUCAACCGUUAUGCACAUCAUUCUGAACAAAGAAGUUAAAUUCAAAACCAGUAUGAGGAUUUAAUUCACAGCCACAUAAUACCAUUCAGAUUUCUGGAUACAAGUAUGAAACAUGCAAAUAUGGAUUCUGCAACUCUGUAUUACAUUCCUCCACAAAAAGAACAAUUCAAGUUCAGUAUGUUUAAUUCACACAGAAAAAUAUACAAGAAAACUACAAGAAACCUUUGAUCCAUGAAAACCAUCAAUGUUUUCCUCCUAUCCUGGCGGCUGGAACCCUAGCCGCCGCCAGGAGAGCCCAAUCUUCCAGCACCGUCCUCCAGCGGCUCCUCUUCCACCGGCGACCUCGGUCGUCGGUGGUGAGGGGGUCGCCGGAUCCACGUGUGUGGAUCAUUUUUACUCCCUCGUAGUCUAGAUUUUUAGGCUAUUUCAUUGUCUUUGUUUCGGCGGCGACGAUUACAGCCUGAAUAAAGAUUCUUCGGAUCCUUCGUUGACAAGGCCAUCGGUCCUAUGGUUGGGGAUGGAUUUGAAAACCAGUCUGUUCAAGCAAGGAUGGUGUGGCGGCGGCGGCAUCCUCUUGGUGGACCUGUGUCCUCGGGCUCUGCCGUUGCGACGGCGUUUGCUCCAGCGUCAGCGCAGAGCUUGGGAGGUAGUCCAGGAGCGGAUGCAGAUUGUGGUCUGCAUCGACGACAUCUGGAAGACAGAACAUGUGCUGGGUUCGUGGUUCAUGGAUGGCAGAUAUGGUUUCCUUCUGCGACGUCUUAGUCGCGGUGGGGUGCCAGAUCUGUAGUUCGAUGGCAUGUCCGGGGUAUUGCAUCGGCCUGAUUCGAUCAACGGUAAGGGCUUCAUUUUUGGUGAGCCACCUUGGAGGUCUGCAAAGCUGCAUAUCAGCGAUGGAGCCGCGUCAAGCUCGAGUGAGGAGGUGAUCCAUUAUUCUUUUCUUCGGUGGUUGCUGUCGUGGUGCCCGAGACAGGUGAAGGGCGUUGGUGUCAAGCUCAGAGAUGUUUUGUUAUCUUUACAGUUUUGUCAUGUCGGUCAUUACGUGACUUGUACUUUAAUCUUUAUGAUAUAAAUGAGACACGUAUUACCAUGCAAAAAAAUGAAAACCAUCAAUCAAUUGUUUUAUUUGAUAGUACAAAAGGCAAAAGAACUCAUGAAUAGAAACCAACAACAUAUAACUGAUAUGGGGAUUCAAGAUUGGAAAAGAACCAGGCCAAAUUAGCAACAGUACAGCCUGGAUUUGAACGAAGACCACCUCGCCGAGAGACGAGAGCUGCAGGUAGUGGUGGAUCGCUGCAACCGACGGCCAUGUCUUCACUUCUCCAUUGGUGAAGUGGUUCUUUCCACAGGUCAACAUAAGUUUAUCCACAAGUUAAACUACUAAUAAGAAUUUGCUAUUACUGAUUGGUUGUCUCUCAAACUUACAUUUGUUCAGCACAAAUCUUUACCAUGCUCUAUUCCCACUACAUUCAAAAUCUCUCACCCCCAUUAUAUGCACAAUCCAGACAAGUCUGAAUCGAUUAAACACAACUACCAGCAAAAUUAACAAUAUUUAGGUUUUGGCCAGAAGUAGUCGAACCGGACAUGUACCUGAAGCAGUCUUUAGCCAAAUUAACAAAAAAAAAAAUCCUUUCCGUUGAGAACUACAUCAGAUUGGCCAAAAAGUUUUGGUUCAUUAUAACAUAAAUCAUUGAACAAAUAACCCAAUGAUCUCUUGUGACAAGAAAUAAUCAAAUGUUGAUUUUUAGUGUGCAUUUUUUCCAUUUAAUUUUUUAGGGUACAUUAUUUUCAUCAACAAUUCUCGCAAAAAAGAAUGCUUAAUUUCACACAAAGAACUGUUUCAAAAUCUGGGCACAUGAAAGAUCAAGGUUCAUGAAUGGAUAAGCACAUGUGCCACACUCCAAUGAACUUAAUGAACCAAAGAAGCAUAAACAAAAAAGAAAUCACUACUUGCAUGGAGAAUCAGUAUAGUUUCCUUUCUGUCAGUCUUGGAAAAAUUGCAACAGAGAAAUCAGGAGAACUCUGUCCUCCACAAAAAAAUUGAGUUCCACAAUCAAUCAAUUGAGUUCAGUAUGUUUUACUUUACACAGAGAAAAAACAUAGAGAAUUACUACAAACCUGUGAUCCAUGAAAACAAUCAAUCAAUUGGUUUUAUUUGCUAGUACAAAAGGCAAAGGAUCCAUAGAUAGAAAUCAACUACGUCUAACUGAUAUGGGAAUUGAAGAUUAGAAAAGAACCAUGCCUAAUUAGCAACAGUACAACCUGAAUCUGGAUGAUGACUACCUCACCGAGAGAUGGCAGCUGCAGAUAAUGGUGGAUUGCUGCAGCCGGCGGCGAUGCCAUCAAUUCUCCACCGACUGCUCAUGCGAGAUAUGCAACAGAUGUCACGGGCGCCCUCAGAUCUGGCCGGGAGCACCUCCCAUCUUCUCCAUGUUACCACCUAUCGAGAGAUCUGCACCUUGCCGUCGCACGUCAGAGCUACACCGCACGAGAACGUCACCUCGUCGUCGUCGUCAUCGCCGUCCGCGUCGGUAGGCACCUCGUGGGCAGAGACAGGGGAGAGGGGCGGCGGCGGCGACAGGAAUGAGCAAGUUAGAAGGCACCUCCGUAGAUGAGUGUGGACGUUCUGGACGCAGCGGCUAGACCUGGCCAUCCUUUGGGCCGGGCCGGGCUUCGGGCCGGGCCUGACCAAGCCCGAGGUAGAAAACUCAGGCCCCAGCCCGGCCCGGCCCGGCCGUCGGGCCUAGUUUUUAGGCCCGAGCCCGACCCAUCACAGCAAAAAACACGUCGGGCCUCGGGCCUCGGGCCGGGCCUCUUCAGUAAAUGGCAUAAACAGCGGGCCCAGGCCCGGCCCGACCUAGUCUUCGGGCUCAAAACCUAGGCCCAGGCCCGGCCCGGGAGCAGCGUCGGGCCGGGUCGGGCCGGGCUGUCCGGGCCGGGCGGCCCAUCGCCAGGACUAGCAGCGGCAUCUGCGCGUAGCGAAAAUGCUAAACCUACGAAAGACUAUACGUAAGGUUACGAAACUUUCCAAACUAAUCUAAACCCCCCCCUGAUUUUUAGGGGGUGGGCCCCUCACUCCCCUAAACACCGAUGCUAUUGUUCAACGUUGGCUAUGCGUAAACUUAAGUAGCUCCUUUACGUAAGUGUAGCAUUGCUCCUGCGCGCAGAUAUCUGGCCGCAGGCUGCGUCAAGAUGAUGUGCGCAUUAAUAAUCGGGGAAUGACAAAGGGAAGCAUACAUCGUCAUAUACAAAGGAAUACUGUGGCCGCGCUGCCUAUGUAGGGCUCGUUCCGUGCGGUACGUGUAUGACUUAAGCACCAGGCAUGCAAUACCGUACUGUAUUUACCACGUGGGCCCAAUUUGGAUUUCUAGAUGUGUGUGAUGUGUUGGAUCUAAACGCCAACGCUGAGUUUUCCUCUCGUCCCUGGCGGCUGGAACCCUAGCCGCCGCCAGGGGAGGCCGGUCUUCCAACGCCGCUCUCCGGCGGCUUCCCUCCGCCGGCGACCUCGGUCGUUGGUGGUGAGGGGGGUCGCCGGAUCCACGUGUGUGGAUCGUUUUUACUCUCUCGUAGUCUAGGUUUUUAGGUUGUUCAUCGUCUUUGCUUCGGCGGUGACGAUGAUAACGCUGAAUAAAGAUUUUUGGGAUCCUUUCCUAACGAGGCCAUCGGUCCUAUUGUUGGGGAUGGAUUUGGAAACCAGUCUGUUCAAGCAAGGAUGGUGUGGCGGCGACGACAUCCUCGUGGUGGACCUGUGUCCUCGAGCUCCGCCGUUGCGACGACGUUUGCUCCAGCGUCGGCGCGGAGCUUGGGAGGUAGUCCAAGAGCAGAUGCAGAUUGUGGUCUACAUCGACGACAUCUGGAAGACGGAGCACGUGCUGGCUCGUGGUUCGUGGAUGGCAGAUAUGGUUUCCUCCUUCGGCGUUUUAGUCGUGGUGGGAUGCUAGAUCUGGAGUUGGAUGGCGUGUCCGGGGUGUUGCCCCGGUCUGAUUCGUUCAACGGUAAGGGCUUAACUUUUGGUGAGCCACCUUGAAGGCCCGCAAAGCUGCAUAUCACCGAUGGAGCCGCGUCGAGCUCGGGUGAGAAGGUGAUUUGUCAUUCUUUUCUUCGGUGGCUACUGUGGUGGUGCCGGAGGCAGGUGACGUGCGUUGGUGUCAAGCUCAAAGAUGUUCUGCUAUCUUUUCAGUUUUGUCAUGUCGGUCUUUACGUGACUUGUACUUUGUUCUUUAUGAUAUGAAUGAGACACGUAUUACCAUGUAAAAAAAGAUGUGUGUGAUGUGCCUCAGGCUGGACGUGGCGAGCGGGCUUUUGGCCCGGCUCGCGGCCCGCGAAGGACUGGACUGAACGGUCCUGGCCCGGUAAAAUACUUGGUCGGUCCGAGCUCAAGAAUCAGGCCCGAGAAAUCUUCGGUCCGGUCCUGUUUUUGACCGAGCCGACCGAGCAGACCGACAAUCCCAGCGGCGACCUGCGCGAAAGGAGUAGUGGAGGAGCAGUGUAGGGAGCGCUGCACCUUCCCGCCGUCGUCGACCGUCGCCGUCUUCACCUGCCCGUAGUAGACUGCCUCCUCUACGUCUGGCCGCCGUCGAGCAACCAUGGCAGCCGUUUCAGCACAGCACGAACGUAACGCAAGCCGCCAUCUGGGAGCAACAAUCGAUCGGUCGUGAUUUUUUGAUCGUGGGAGAAAAGCUCAACCGUGAUUUUCGCAUCCAACUAAUCAGGCAAGUAUUUUUGAAAGGCAAGGAGUAGAUGUAAUAGCGCCCAGUUCCUAUAAUCAUGGGCCAUCACCCCACGUUGCAGUUUCCUUUUUUAUGCAGUCGAGAUGGAAACAAAAAAUACGACGGAAUCACGAUUUGAUCCGAAACUCAUGGCGCCAUUUGAGGAAGAACUCGACGUCAGGUUUGAUCCUCUAAUCACGGCAAGGCCCAUAAGCAGAAAAUCUUGGCUGCAUACUCGUUCUACAUUACUUGCAUGCAAUAGGGAAAACUGCUAAUGAACAAAUAUCUGCAGGUUCGUAGGUAACAGGCGCGCCGCCCAGCGCACACCUCGACCACCUUGCCGCCGGCGCUCUCGCAUGAAGCCCACCUUGUCACAGCACCAGCGCACGUCGCACACCUCGCCGCUGCACCCGUGCAAGUCGCUCGGUCCGGCCCGGGCUUGGCCGGUCCGCUCGGUCCGGCCCGGGCUUGGCCGCUGCCGGUCCGGUCCCAGAAAUCAGGACCGUCGUGAUGCUCAGUCCGGUCCGGUCCGGACCGCCGGCGGCCGGUCCAAACGACGGCUCGGACCGGGACCGGACCGGCCCGGACCGUGUCCACCCUGGGAUGUGCCGGACCUGCUUGAUGAUCCCGUCUGGAUUGCUGGUUCUCCGUGCUGCAUUCUCUUUCUGUUCAUGAUGACCGGAGUUGAUUCAAAGCAUGUGUCUUGCUGGUUGCCCCGUUCUUGAUGAACUUCUCCGCCCAUCGAUUUGAUUCAAAGCCUGUCCGUCGACAUGUGCCGUGGGGUUAGGCAAAGUGUGGGGAGGUAGUGAGAGCGUGGCAAGAGAUGUCAUCGAAAUCUUACCUUGCUGUGUGCCAGAGCCUGCCUGCGGCGUCGCCGGGAGAGAUCGGGAAACCUUCGAUGUGGUUUGCAAUGGAGCUUGUUUCAUCUACAGCGUUGUGGGG